GGGGCCUUAGCUCAGCUGGGAGAGCGCCUGCUUUGCACGCAGGAGGUCAGCGGCUCGAUCCCGCUAGGCUCCACCA
This 76-nucleotide transfer RNA is filed under the name Listeria monocytogenes. Its description in RNAcentral is "tRNA-Ala". It matches the Rfam family "tRNA". Rfam says of the family: Transfer RNA (tRNA) molecules are approximately 80 nucleotides in length. Their secondary structure includes four short double-helical elements and three loops (D, anti-codon, and T loops). Further hydrogen bonds mediate the characteristic L-shaped molecular structure. tRNAs have two regions of fundamental functional importance: the anti-codon, which is responsible for specific mRNA codon recognition, and the 3' end, to which the tRNAs corresponding amino acid is attached (by aminoacyl-tRNA synthetases). tRNAs cope with the degeneracy of the genetic code in two manners: having more than one tRNA (with a specific anti-codon) for a particular amino acid; and 'wobble' base-pairing, i.e. permitting non-standard base-pairing at the 3rd anti-codon position. The record is from RNAcentral. Lineage: Bacteria; Bacillati; Bacillota; Bacilli; Caryophanales; Listeriaceae.